RNAcentral lists this unclassified non-coding RNA (2216 nucleotides) under Agrilus planipennis (emerald ash borer). RNAcentral's name for it is "t-cell activation inhibitor, mitochondrial, transcript variant X2". Lineage: Eukaryota; Metazoa; Arthropoda; Insecta; Coleoptera; Buprestidae. The record is from RNAcentral.
UCCAUGGGCUAAGUAUCAUACAUAAGAACCCGCUAUUUUAAUCCAACUAUUUAACAUACAUUAUCACUUAUUUAAUUAUUAUUAUUAUUGCGUUUUACUAUUAAUUUAAAAUGACUUUAUUUAUCACGUUUUGUAAAUGAUAGUAAUUAAUUUGUUAUUAAUUUCUGAAAUACGUCAUUGACAUUUAAAGGCACGUCGUUGUGAAGGUCAUGUGUUUUGAACAUUGUUUACCAAAAUUAACUGUGGCGUUUAUAUUUAUAUAUUGAUAACCACUUAUUAUGAUUUAUAUUUACCUUAAAAAUGUCUAGAUUCAAUCUGUUAUUACUAUUUUACGUGUAAUCAUGUUUUGCCAAGGUAUAAGACAAAUUCCUCGAAAUGUUAAUUUACGAUAUAUGACAACUACGGAGGUGUCUACAGCCCUAAGACCCUUUUACUUUUCCGUGCAUCCUGAUCUUUUUGGACAGUAUCCCAGCCAAAGAAUGACUAAUGAGACUUCUUUGCAACAGUUAAGUUCCUUUAUAGAAUGCCUACAGAAAAAUCGUCCUGUAAAGCCUGUACAUUUGAAAUUUUACGUAAGAGAAAAGAACAAAGAUGAAGGACUAUUUAAGCUGGUUAAUAUUCAACUAAAUGAAAAGGACAUAAGAAGCACUGUUACCUCUAUUCUUCAAAGUUUAAAGCUUUCUACCAAAUAUGUGGAUGGGUUACCAAAGACUGAGAAAUUUACAGAUCCUUUAUUUACUGAAAAAAAGACACAUUAUAAUGUUGACUUUACAAAUAUAAAGGAGGAUGAUCCGCUGUUUGGAAUGUUUAUUUUGAAAAAGAAAAUUGACUUAGAAAGGGAAUCUAAUAGGCUAAGAUAUUGGCUAGAGAAAAACUAUAAAGUUGCCCUUGACAAGUCAAAAACACAGAUACCUGUUAGAUCUGACAUUAAACGGUUACGAAAUGAACUGAUACAAAAGUGGGGUUUGCAAGAAGUCCGCUGGGACUGUGGCUGGAAUGAACAACAUUUUAAGGGUUGUCUGCAAGCUCUCAUGGCAUUGGGAGAGCAGCAUCCACAACCAAUGCAAAUACUAAAAGGGAGAAUACUUGUAUUUGCUGGAUUCACAGGGGUCAGUUUAGAUGGACAUAUAAUGCUUAACAGUGGUGAAGUCCGUCAUAAUUGGCUUGAUUUGUUGCAUAAUGUAAAAAAGUAUGACAAAGCUCUAUUACGUAUUCCACUAUUCGAAAAAUGCGUUUCACAAGUAUUGAGAGACAUAAAAAUUGGCAGACGGAAAUUUAUGCCUAAAAUUUUAGCUGAAGAGUAUGAAAAUAAUUUGAAGAAGAUAACGACAGCUUUAAAUGAUUAUUUAAGCAGGAGAAGUUUUCCAAAAGAAUGGCCUAAGACCCUAAAGGAAUAUGAACUCGUUGUUGAUAGUGAGUCUGGCCCAUUAAUGCUUUCCCACACAGGUCAGAUAAUGGUUCCAGCUUCUUGUCCUGGGGUCCUAAUGGUCAAUUUCAUAACACGCAAUUUAGAGGAGGCAGCUAAGAAAAUGGAAAAGUAUAAAACAAAUCAAUAUUUAGAGCAGUCCUUACAGCAAAAGUGUAUCGACGCCUUGCAUCUGACUGAUUUAUUCAAAGACGACAGCGUCUCUCCUGAUGUAAUGAUAGAGUGCUGUCAGAGGUUGUUGAAGUUCCAGGAUGAGUUGCAGCCCGUGUUAAAGGAUGUCUGUCUCCAUAUCACCAAUUAUUACUCGGUCUUAUCGGACGGCGUCGUUUGCAUUCCUUGGAACUGGGCCAUUUAGUGUGACCUUUAUUAUCACGUCCUCAAGGAUACCUACGGAUAUGAUUGGAAUAGCAGUGUGCUUUUGUCUAAAAGCUGAGUAAUAUAUCGCGAGAGAGCUGACUCAAUCUAUUAAAUUUACGUUGUUUAAAGACGUUUAAUUCGAAAUUUUUAAAAUAAACUUUGGUUUAUUUAGUGCAAGGGUUAAUUUGGUGAUUGGUGCAAGUAUUAAAUAUAAAUGUGAUCUUAUAACUCUCGUAAAAAGACAAUUUGAUAAAAGUGUGUGCUAGGGGUGAUAAAAAUCCUGGCCGACAUCUUGUAUUGCUGAGCAAAAUAAUGAAUGGGGUAAUGAUUGGAUUGCUUUUAAAGAAUCCAUCAGUGUUGUUAAUUAAACGUUAUAUUAUCUUGGUGAAAAAUUAGACAAUAGUUAAUCACACGCGGCAAAGAGAGGCGGCGG